RNAcentral lists this ribosomal RNA (393 nucleotides) under uncultured bacterium. RNAcentral describes it as "partial 16S ribosomal RNA". It matches the Rfam family "Bacterial small subunit ribosomal RNA", at positions 523 to 918 of the family's 1533-position model. The record is from RNAcentral.
AUACGGAGGAUGCGAGCGUUAUCCGGAUUUAUUGGGUUUAAAGGGAGCGUAGGUGGGAUAUUAAGUCAGCUGUGAAAGUUUGGGGCUCAACCUUAAAAUUGCAGUUGAUACUGGUUUCCUUGAGUACGGUAUAGGUGGGCGGAAUUCGUGGUGUAGCGGUGAAAUGCUUAGAUAUCACGAAGAACUCCGAUCGCGAAGGCAGCUCACCGGGCCGGAACUGACACUGAUGCUCGAAAGUGCGGGUAUCAAACAGGAUUAGAUACCCUGGUAGUCCGCACAGUAAACGAUGAAUACUCGCUGUUUGCGAUACACUGUAAGCGGCCAAGCGAAAGCGUUAAGUAUUCCACCUGGGGGGUACGCCGGCAACGGUGAAACUUAAAGGAAUUGACGGGG